UCCCCCUCCCCUCACUGCGUACGCGCCUGGUGAUGAAGAUAUAAAUAAAGAAAUAUUAGAGUUCAAGAAGAAAGAAAGGAUCGGGAGACGGAAAGAUGGCAGCCGCAGGUAAAAAGGGCGACUAAAUAAAUACGAAAAUGCAUUGAAAAGGGAAAAGUCAAACCAACGUGAAGGCAAAGAUAGAUCCACAACUUCACUUCACUCAUUCUGGACAUUUCAUUACUAUCUGUUAUUUAUUUGAGAAACCAACUACAACUACCAACUACGAGUGAGCCAUCACUCAUCACGUGGUCUUGGUCGAUGAUACAUAAUGCGGACAUAAUCCAAUCUUAUCAAAAUGCUAAUGUCUCCCCCUUGUUCAGCUCCGAUCCCUUCUUGGCGGCCAAGCCCUUUCAUGUUUGCGCGCUCUCCAUCAGACAUUCCCCUCUCUUUCUCUCUCUCUCUAUUGCGCUGUCUGUUUCGUGAAGUUAUCCCCUCCCCCCCCCCCCCCUGAAAAGAUAAGCGUGGGAAAACCUCUCUCUCGCUCUCUUCUCUGUCACAUUCACUUGAGGUCAUUCAAUCGGCCCAUAAAUGGCUUUGUUUUUGUUUACAUUAGCUCAGAGGCGGCUUCAUAAGUCAUGAAUGAACUGACUAGUAUCUCUUCAGACUUUCUAUCAAUUGCUUUGGUGUCUCGAAGUCGACGGGUGUAUAUGUCAUUUUGAGACAGAGAAUUUAUUUUACUCCAAUAUAAAGUAAAAGACGAAGAAAUUUGAGUACUGCAAUUUUUGUGAAAAUAAGAAAAUGCAAUAUUGUUUUUAAUAUAAGGAAAAUAAUUACAGCUUUAAAUACAUGACUUGGUCUAGCUCGAUAAAAAUCCAAACAACUAUGAUCAUAUACAUUUUUUUUUCUUCGUAACAUUGGAUAACAAAUUUCACAAAUUCCAACAUACUAUAAAUAUUGAUUAUUUAGUGCAAGGGUAAAUAUGACAAUGACUCGGAACAUAAUACAGGGAUAACAAUUAAUCAAAUUACUCGUAAUACUUGUAAACGUUUUUUUUAAUUAUUUUUUAUAAUUUUUUUUUCUUCAGGGGGGCGGGGUCAAAUUUUCCCUCGUGUCGCGCCACGCCUUUUUAAUUUCUUGGCGAGAGGCCUGAUUAUGCAUAGA
Molecule: long non-coding RNA, 1143 nt
Organism: Strongylocentrotus purpuratus (purple sea urchin)
Lineage: Eukaryota; Metazoa; Echinodermata; Echinoidea; Camarodonta; Strongylocentrotidae
Exons: 2
Source: RefSeq, a predicted model, not a curated record